UGUUAAAAAAAUUCAUCUAUUUUUACGGUUAAAAAAAUAGCAUGGCUGACAUAAUAAUCAAAUAGUUACACGUGUAAUGCCACAUGUACCUCCUCCUAAUGUAAAAUGAUCGGUUUUUAAUAGUAGAAAUGGAUAAAAUUUUUAACA
Molecule: non-coding RNA, 147 nt
Organism: Gossypium hirsutum (cotton)
Lineage: Eukaryota; Viridiplantae; Streptophyta; Magnoliopsida; Malvales; Malvaceae
Source: Rfam